RNAcentral lists this unclassified non-coding RNA (363 nucleotides) under uncultured bacterium. Its description in RNAcentral is "contains 16S-23S intergenic spacer region". The record is from RNAcentral.
UCUCCCGUGAGGGAGCUGUCUCGCCUGACACUUAUAACAGGCAACGAGGGUUGCGUUCGUUUCCCCACUUAAGGGAACAACUCAAGCCACGAACUGACGACGACCAUGCAUCACCUGCCAUACACCCUCGAAGGCUUCCUCCCUUUCAGGAGGCGUGCAGUAUGGUUUCUAACCCUGGUAAGGUUCUUCGCUUACCGACGAAUUAAGCCUCAUGAUCCACCGCUUGUGCGAGCCCCCGUCUAUUCCUUUGAGUUUUAAUCUUGCGAUCGUACUACCCAGGCGGUCAACUUAACGCGUUAGCUUCGCCUCAGGGAGGGUCGAUACUCCCAAAAGCCAGUUGACAUCGUUUAGGGCGUGGACUAC